UGGUGAACAUCAGGGAGCCCAGUGCAGAGAUCAAGGUGGAACCUGCAGAACCAGAGCCAGUCAUUUCAGGAGCUGAAAUAGUAGCUGGAGUUGUUCCAGCCACAAGUAUGGAGCCACCAGAACUCAGGAGUCAGGACUUAGAUGAGGAACCGGGAAGUACUGCAGCUGGAGAGAUUGUUGAAGCAGAUGUUGCCAUUGGGAAAGGCGAUGAGACUCCACUUACAAAUGUGAAGACAGAGGCAUCCCCUGAAAGCAUGUUGUCUCCAUCACACGGCUCAAAUCCCAUUGAAGAUCCUUUAGAGGCAGAGACUCAGCACAAGUUUGAAAUGUCAGGGUCAGAGUUACUCUCGAGCAAGGGGAAAGAAGGAACGCCUCUUAGCUUAGUCUUAACUCUGUCUGUAGUGAGGAUCAGGAAGCUAUUCAGGCACAGAAAAUUUGGAAGAAAGCCAUCAUGCUUGUAUGGAGAGCUGCAGCUAAUCAUAGGUAUGCCAAUGUCUUCCUGCAGCCUGUUACAGAUGACAUAGCACCUGGCUACCACAGCAUUGUGCAGAGGCCUAUGGAUUUGUCAACUAUUAAGAAAAACAUAGAAAAUGGACUGAUCCGAAGCACAGCUGAAUUUCAGCGUGACAUUAUGCUGAUGUUUCAGAAUGCUGUAAUGUACAAUAGCUCAGACCACGAUGUCUAUCACAUGGCAGUGGAGAUGCAGCGAGAUGUCUUGGAACAGAU
Molecule: small RNA, 726 nt
Filed under: Pongo abelii (Sumatran orangutan)
Lineage: Eukaryota; Metazoa; Chordata; Mammalia; Primates; Hominidae
Description: processed transcript
Source: RNAcentral